Long non-coding RNA from Ctenopharyngodon idella (grass carp), 4274 nucleotides. RefSeq lists it as uncharacterized. The transcript has 4 exons. NCBI's taxonomy places the organism in Eukaryota, Metazoa, Chordata, Actinopteri, Cypriniformes, Xenocyprididae. The record is from RefSeq and is a predicted model, not a curated record.
ACUUCUUUGCAUUGUCACACAUGCUUCAGUGCUCUGAGAGUGUUUAUAGUGCUGUGAGUUUAACACUUCAUGACUGAGAGCAGAACAGAACACAAUCUUCAUCAUCACACAAGACAAAAGAACAACAAUGAACAAAAUCACCUUCUUCAUCUGGACUCUCACACUGUUUGUUCAAGAAUCCAGAGGAGUGACUCUGACUCAACCUGAAGUUAAAACUGUCCAACAGGGUCAAACAGCUACAAUAGAGUGUCAUAUAGAUGUAGGAAUAUACAGCAACUACUUAGCCUGGUAUCAGCAGAAACCUGGAGAAGCUCCUAAACUCCUGAUUUAUUGGAUCAACAGACUCCAGUCAGGAACUCCAUCUAGAUUCAGUGGCAGUGGAACAGCAAAUACUGGACGAGAUUUCACUCUGACCAUCAGUGGAGUCCAGACUGAAGAUACAGGAGAUUAUUACUGUCAGAGUUACCACUAUAUCAACAGUAAAGAAGUGUUCACACAGUGAUAAAGAGUGGUACAAAAACCUCGGUCAGUCAGACGUCACAGUGAUGCACUGAUACAGCUGAGAGAUACUGCAGCUGCUGAUGGAGGAUCACAAACAACACAAUGAUCACAGUAUGAGAGCGAUGUGGAGUGAAGCAGAAAUAGCAGUUGUUUUUAAUGUGUUUUCUCUCACUCCAGGAUUGAAAGAAGCGGUUUCUUUCUUCAGUGGUUGUGGGAAAAAUAUGCAUACUAACUAAUCAGAUUUAGUCUGAAAGCCCACUAUGAGUACACCAGCAGUCAAGGACAAUCGAAAAAGAGAGAUUGAACAAUCAGCAAUAAAGAAAAAAUUCAAAGAUUCCACCAUCUCCAGAGAGGAUCUCAACACUGCUAUUGCUAACGGUAUCAAGCUAACGCUCAAAGAGCAACAAAGUACUCUCGAUUCAGUUGUGGCUUCGACAGUAAGAGAAGUGAUAGACUCUGCACUGAUCCCAGCACUCCGUGAUCUACAUUUGGAUAUAAAAACGACCAACGAUUCUGUUAAAGAACAAAAAGCAGAAGUUGAAAAGCUAGCCAACACGGAAAAACAGAGACGUGACCGGGUCGAUUCUGUUCAGGCUGCUGCACGUGAGGAUAGGAGGACAGUCACAAACUCACCAACUCACCAAAAAUGACGGACACUGAAGACAGGAGCAGGAGAAAUAACGUACGACUGGUGGAUCUGCCUGAGGGGGCGGAGGGCUCCGAUGCAGCGGGCUUCCUCAGAGCUCAUCUUUCCAGGUGGAUCUCUUCACUGAAAGGCCGUGACAUCGAGAUUGACCGGGCCCGUCGCGUGUAUGACUGACGCGCUGAUUCAUUACGCUCCGAAUCUUCAUGAAGCAGUGUUUUGAAAUCGGCCAUCACUAAAUAAGUCGUUUUUUUUUUUUUUUGGCACACCAAAAAUAUUCUCGUCGCUUUAUAAUAUUAAUAUUGAACCACUGUACUCACAUGAACUGAUUUAAAUAUGUUUUUAGUACCUUUAUGGAUCUUGAGAGAGGAAAUGUCAUUGCUCCCUAUGUAGGCCUCACUGAGCCAUCGGAUUUAAACAAAAAUGUCUUAAUUUGUGUUCCGAAGAUCAACGAAGGUCUUACGGGUGUGGAAUGGCAUGAGGGUGAGUAAUUAAUGACAGAAUUUUCAUUUUUGGGUGAACUAACCCUUUAAGAGAACGAUAACAAGGUGGCCAUGGACACUUCAUCCCCCUGGAAUUAUAAGGUUCUGUCUGCGUUCUGAGCGGUUUUGAGAUAUUGAGCUUCAAAGUUUUUGCAUUCCAUAUAGCAAAAACUAUAUGGGGAACAAGUUUCUUUCAAACAUGAAAAUGACAGGGACAGUAAAUGUAUUCUAAAUGUACAAUAUCAAAAUCCUCUCAAAUUUGUAAAUGGGGAUUUUUGGAACGGGUCAAAUGCAGAUAGAACCUUUUAAUUCUAAAAAAAAAAAAAAACACUUUUCGCUUGGAAUUAUAAGGUUCUAUCUGGUAAAAAAUUAAUUGAAGCAAUAAUUUUCAAGAAACACAAACAGUUUGCUUAUAAUUUCCUUUAAAACAAAAUUAGUGUUGUAACAAUGUGUUGACAUGCAUGAGAAAGUUUAAUUUAAUAGUUUUUAUGACAUUUAUUUUUUAUAUUUUAAAUGAAUAUUUAUAUAUGGGUAAUUUAACACAUUAUUGCAGGAACCAUUUAAGUACAAGUUUCCUUUUGUUUAUACAGAAAGCAGCAAUAUUGUAAAAUUGAAGACAUUCAUCUCACUUAAUCUAGUAUACACUUUAAUCCAGUAUGCCAUAGCGUAGAGCUUUAUAUCUACAUACAGCUCAAUUCAAGUACACAGGAUGGAUCAAAGUUAAAACAUAACCUAAUAUAUACAUAACUUUCCCUCGUAUGACGUGACUGGAAAUAAGUAAAUAGACUACAAAACCCGGACCUAUACUCUUAAUAGCGCUGCUGGCUAACGUUAGCAUGGUGUCUAACUGAAAAUAACUCCCUAACAAAAGAUACAGCAAAACACACAAAAAGACUGUAAUUCCCUGGAAUUUGGGCUGCUGUCAUUGUCAAGAUCAUAAAUAAAAUAGUCGAUCAUGAGCUUUCUAAUAAACAUCGCGUUGUGUGAAAUUAUUUAGUCUUCACUGAUUUAGCGUUUUCGUGCGCUCUCUUCCGCUAUUGUGGCGACAUGACAAAGAACGCUGAUCCUGAUUGGUCCUUGUGUGUGCAUUCAAAGUGCUGAUUGGCUCACGCAGAUAGAACCUUGUAGAGUCAAGUUAGAGUGCGACUUUGUAGACAGAACCUUUUUGUUUUCUAAAAAAAGUACCAAAACUUAAAAAAAGAAACAUCACAUAAUGUAAAUAAGUUGUCACAGAAUAUGAAUAUGUGAAUAACUCAAUUUUGACAAAAAUGUCAGAUAGAACCUUCUAAUUCCAAGGGGACGACUUGUUCAUUUCUUUUUGGAAUCUUGUCCUGUACGCUCGUCCGCUGACUCGUAAAUGGGCCUGGGGACAUGUCUUGUGUUGAAGUGGACUGGUCAACAUUUGUUUCUGUUGUUUGCGCACACCUACAUUCUCGUGUACAUGUACAUUGUUGUUUGUCGUUCCUUUUUCUUGUUUUUUUUUUGUUUGUUUUUGUUUUGUUUUUUCUGUUCCCUUUAACAGGCAUCAAUACUUUUAUUUAUCUUGCUUUUCUUUUAAAAGGAUUAUGCAUCGCGAUGGAUUGGUAUCUAGCAUACAUCUUUAUCAUCAGGCACUUUUCUCCACAUGUUUUGGGAAUGUCCAGUUGUUGUUAUGGACUCAUGUGAAUUCUGUUUUGUCCUUUUUACUACAAACUGAUUACGUCUCUAAUCCAGGUUUAUGUCUUCUCAAUGACGAUUCUAACUGCUGUAUGAGUUCAUUAAAGAAGAGAAUGUUGUUUGCUGGUUUUACAGCGGCAAAGAAGACAAUAAUACAGAACUGGUUUACUCCGAUGAAAAUGAUCUGAAAUUGACAUUUGACAUUUGAACUCCAGUGAAGUCCACUAUAUGGAGAAAAAUCCUGGAAUGUUUUCCUCAAAAACCUUAAUUUCUUUUCGACUGAAGAAAGAAAAACGGAUGACAUGGGGGUGAGUAAAUUAUCAGGAAAUUUUCAUUCAGAAGUGAACUAAUCCUUUAAGAGACACAAAUUCAAUAGAAAUGCAAAUGACCUGCAUGUAUUUGUGAGAUGAUGUGUCAAAGCAGAAGUCGUCUCAAGCUGGUUUUGUGAUCUUGACAAUCAGUUCAAUGUUCUUCAGUGGCCUUCAAGAUCACAGAUCUGAAUCCAACAGAAAACCUUUGGUACAAUAAGAGAUCUGCAGAUAUUAUGGGAUUCAAUCAUGUCAACAUGGAGCAGAAUCCAGAAACCAUCUUGGAAACCUUUUAUCACGCCUUCAUUAGAUUUUACUGCUUUGCCAAUGUGUUUUUAUCUUAUAUCUUAGAUUUUUUACACUCUUGUCCCAGACUCAAACGUUCAGUCUAAGCCUGUGAAAAUCCAUCAAAGAUAUCCUAAUAUUACUACAUAUUAAAUCUAUGAUGACCUAAAUAAACAAAGAGUGAAAUAAACUGAAACAAUUAUUUAAAAAUGAUGACCAUAGUUUCAGCAUCAUUUUCAACUUUUUAAGAGACAAUAGUGUCAGUGGAGAUGAUUGAGAUUAAAUAUGAGACAUGUGAUGUAUGUGGAAAAUGCAAUAUUUGUACUGACUAUGAUCUUGAUGAAAAAUGAGGCUUAUUGUAGAAUUAAGAGUGAUUAACAAUAAAACAUCUAAACUAAA